AAGAAACCAACAGGGAUUGCCCCAGUAGCGGCGAGUGAAGCGGCAAGAGCUCAGAUUUGAAAUCGUGUUUCGGCACGAGUUGUAGAGUGUAGGCGGGAGUCUCUGUGGAGCGCGGUGUCCAAGUCCCUUGGAACAGGGUGCCUGAGAGGGUGAGAGCCCCGUAGGGUGCUGCGCGAAGCUUUUGAGGCCCUGCUGACGAGUCGAGUUGUUUGGGAAUGCAGCUCCAAGCGGGUGGUAAAUUCCAUCUAAGGCUAAAUAUUGGCGAGAGACCGAUAGCGAACAAGUACUGUGAAGGAAAGAUGAAAAGCACUUUGAAAAGAGAGUGAAACAGCACGCGAAAUUGUUGAAAGGGAAGGGUAUUGGGCUCGACAUGGGGGGUGCGCACCGCUGUCUCUUGUAGGCGGCGCUCUGGGCGCCCUCUGGGCCAGCAUCGGUUCCUGCUGCGGGAGAAGGGGCUCCGGAAAGUGGCUCUUCGGAGUGUUAUAGCCGGGGCCAGAUGCCGCGUGUGGGGACCGAGGACUGCGGCUUCUGUCUCGGAUGCUGGCAUAACGGCGCAAUACCGCCCGUCUCGAAACACGGACC
RNAcentral lists this ribosomal RNA (582 nucleotides) under Pichia manshurica. RNAcentral's name for it is "eukaryotic LSU rRNA". It matches the Rfam family "Eukaryotic large subunit ribosomal RNA", at positions 59 to 667 of the family's 3401-position model. The record is from RNAcentral. Lineage: Eukaryota; Fungi; Ascomycota; Pichiomycetes; Pichiales; Pichiaceae.